UACGGAGGAUGCGAGCAUUAUCCGGAUUUAUUGGGUUUAAAGAGUGCGUAGGCGGAUCGUUAAGUCAGUGGUCAAAUUGAGGGGCUCAACCCCUUCCCGCCAUUGAAACUGGCGAUCUUGAGUGGAAGAGAAGUAUGCGGAAUGCGUGGUGUAGCGGUGAAAUGCAUAGAUAUCACGCAGAACCCCGAUUGCGAAGGCAGCAUGCCGGCUUCCGACUGACGCUGAAGCACGAAAGCGUGGGGAUCGAACAGG
This 252-nucleotide ribosomal RNA is filed under the name uncultured bacterium. Its description in RNAcentral is "partial 16S ribosomal RNA". It matches the Rfam family "Bacterial small subunit ribosomal RNA", at positions 524 to 776 of the family's 1533-position model. The record is from RNAcentral.